CCAAUAGCGUAUAUUAAAGUUGUUGCAGUUAAAAAGCUCGUAGUUGAAUUUCGGGGUUAGUAGAUUGGUCGUGCCACGGGUAUGUACUGGUCUCACUGAUUCCUCCUUCCUGAUGAACCGUAAUGCCAUUAAGUUGGUGUUGCGGGGAGACUGGACUGUUACUUUGAAAAAAUUAGAGUGUUUAAAGCAGGCUAACGCGUUAAUAAAUUAGCAUGGAAUAAUGAAAUAGGACGUUCGAGCCUAUUUUGUUGGUUUCUAGGAUUGACGUAAUGAUUAAUAGGGAUAGUUGGGGGCAUUAGUAUUCAAUUGUCAGAGGUGAAAUUCUUGGAUUUAUUGAAGACUAACUACUGCGAAAGCAUUUGCCAAGGAUGUUUUCAUUAAUCAAGAACGAAAGUUAGGGGAUCGAAGACGAUCAGAUACCGUCGUAGUCUUAACCAUAAACUAUGCCGACUAGGGAUCGGAUGAUGUUAAUUUUUUAAUGACUCAUUCGGCGCCUUACG
Molecule: ribosomal RNA, 500 nt
Filed under: uncultured Glomeromycotina
Lineage: Eukaryota; Fungi; Glomeromycota
Description: partial small subunit ribosomal RNA
Rfam family: Eukaryotic small subunit ribosomal RNA
Source: RNAcentral